RNAcentral lists this long non-coding RNA (621 nucleotides) under Homo sapiens (human). RNAcentral describes it as "long non-coding RNA NONHSAT142426.2". The record is from RNAcentral. Lineage: Eukaryota; Metazoa; Chordata; Mammalia; Primates; Hominidae.
GAGUGGGCCUUGGAGUCGGCGCGCAGGCGGCUCGCGAAGGAAGUGAUCCUUUCUCUACAUGGGCCUCACCUUGGGGAGGACAAUGGUGUCUUUGAAGUUGUAGUAACUGAAGUAGAGAUCAAAAGGCAAUGCAGAUAGACUGACAGAUUUCGCCUGAAGAGGGGAAGCCCGACCAGUUGUGAAAUGUGCUCGCAGGAGGCUUUUCAGGCACAGAGGAGCCAGCUGGUCGAGCUGCUGGUCUCAGGGUCCCUGGAAGGCUUCGAGAGUGUCCUGGACUGGCUGCUGUCCUGGGAGGUCCUCUCCUGGGAGGACUACGAGGGCUUCCACCUCCUGGGCCAGCCUCUCUCCCACUUGGCCAGGCGCCUUCUGGACACCGUCUGGAAUAAGGGUACUUGGGCCUGUCAGAAGCUCAUCGCGGCUGCCCAAGAAGCCCAGGCCGACAGCCAGUCCCCCAAGCUGCAUGGCUGCUGGGACCCCCACUCGCUCCACCCAGCCCGAGACCUGCAGAGUCACCGGCCAGCCAUUGUCAGGAGGCUCCACAGCCAUGUGGAGAACAUGCUGGACCUGGCAUGGGAGCGGGGUUUCGUCAGCCAGUAUGAAUGUGAUGAAAUCAGGUUGCCG